RNAcentral lists this ribosomal RNA (357 nucleotides) under Ensifer meliloti. RNAcentral describes it as "Sinorhizobium meliloti bacterial SSU rRNA". It matches the Rfam family "Bacterial small subunit ribosomal RNA", at positions 996 to 1352 of the family's 1533-position model. The record is from RNAcentral. Lineage: Bacteria; Pseudomonadati; Pseudomonadota; Alphaproteobacteria; Hyphomicrobiales; Rhizobiaceae.
GGCAGUGGAGACAUUGUCCUUCAGUUAGGCUGGCCCCAGAACAGGUGCUGCAUGGCUGUCGUCAGCUCGUGUCGUGAGAUGUUGGGUUAAGUCCCGCAACGAGCGCAACCCUCGCCCUUAGUUGCCAGCAUUUAGUUGGGCACUCUAAGGGGACUGCCGGUGAUAAGCCGAGAGGAAGGUGGGGAUGACGUCAAGUCCUCAUGGCCCUUACGGGCUGGGCUACACACGUGCUACAAUGGUGGUGACAGUGGGCAGCGAGACAGCGAUGUCGAGCUAAUCUCCAAAAGCCAUCUCAGUUCGGAUUGCACUCUGCAACUCGAGUGCAUGAAGUUGGAAUCGCUAGUAAUCGCAGAUCAG